GAGAGCCCGUCNGGGCGCANGAUCGACCGAUCCUGAUGUCUUCGGAUGGAUUUGAGUACGANAAUGGCUGUUGGGACCCGGGGGGGGGAGAACUAUGCCUGAAUAGGGUGAAGCCAGAGGAAACUCUGGUGGAGGCUCGCAGCGGNUCUGACGUGCAAAUCGAUCGUCAAAUUUGGGCAUAGGUGAGUACCGCACCGCGCGUUCUGAUGUGUAAGCUGUUAAUUCACAACAGGGGCNAAAGNCUAAUCGAACCGUCUGGUAGCUGGANCCUGCCNAAGUUUCNUAAGUUCACCCUUCCUAAUGUCANGAUUNGAGCCG
This 318-nucleotide ribosomal RNA is filed under the name Normandina pulchella. RNAcentral describes it as "partial 28S ribosomal RNA". The stretch from base 1 to 266 matches the Rfam family "Eukaryotic large subunit ribosomal RNA", at positions 737 to 954 of the family's 3401-position model. Lineage: Eukaryota; Fungi; Ascomycota; Eurotiomycetes; Verrucariales; Verrucariaceae. The record is from RNAcentral.